Molecule: ribosomal RNA, 1352 nt
Filed under: uncultured bacterium
Lineage: Bacteria
Description: bacterial SSU rRNA
Rfam family: Bacterial small subunit ribosomal RNA
Source: RNAcentral
GAAUCACGCUGGCGGCGUGCCUCAGACAUGCAAGUCGAACGCGAAAGCCCCCUUCGGGGGGCAAGUAGAGUGGCGCACGGGUGAGUAACACGUAGGUAAUCUACCUUUGGAUGGGGAAUAACAACCGGAAACGGUUGCUAAUACCGCAUAAUGCAGCGGCACCUAAUGGUGACAGUUGUUAAAGCGGGGGAUCGCAAGACCUCGCGUCUGAAGAGGAGCCUGCGGCGGAUUAGCUAGUUGGUAAGGUAACGGCUCACCAAGGCGACGACGCGUAGCCGGACUGAGAGGUUGGCCGGCCUCAUUGGGACUGAGACACUGCCCAGACUCCUACGGGGGGCUGCAGUAACGAAUCUUCCGCAAUGCACGAAAGUGUGACGGAGCGACGCCGCGUGUGGGACGAAGUCCUUCGGGAUGUAAACCACUGUCAGGGGUUACCAAGUUCUGAGGAGCCCCAGAGGAAGGCACGGCUAACUCUGUGCCAGCAGCCGCGGUAAGACAGAGGUGCCAAGCGUUAGGCGGAAUCACUGGGCUUAAAGCGUGUGUAGGCGGAUUUGUAAGUACCUUGUGAAAUCCCACGGCUCAACCGUGGAACUGCUCGGUAUACUGCUUAUCUUGAGCCACUUAGGGGCUGUCGGAACAAACGGUGGAGCGGUGAAAUGCGUAGAUAUCGUUUGGAACGCCAACGGUGAAAACAGACAGCUGGGAGUGUGCUGACGCUGAGACACGAAAGCCAGGGGAGCGAACGGGAUUAGAUACCCCGGUAGUCCUGGCCCUAAACGAUGUCGACUAGAUCGCGGCGGCUCUGACGCCGUCGCGGUCGAAGCAAGAGUGCUAAGUCGACCGCCUGGGAAGUACGGUCGCAAGGCUAAAACUCAAAGGAAUUGACGGGGGCUCACACAAGCGGUGGAGCAUGUGGUUCAAUUCGAAGCAACGCGCAGAACCUUACCUGGGCUUGACAUGCCAGGAUUAUCCCCAUGAAAGUGGGGUAGGCCCUUCGGGGUACAACUGGUACAGGUGCUGCAUGGCUGUCGUCAGCUCGUGUCGUGAGAUGUCGGGUUAAGUCCCUUAACGAGCGAAACCUUUGCCCUUAGUUACCAGCGGGUUAUGCCGGGGACUCUAAGGGGACUGCCGGUGUCAAACCGGAGGAAGGUGGAGAUGACGUCAAGUCCUCAUGGCCUUUAUGCCCAGGGCCACACACGUGCUACAAUGCGGCGCACAAAGCGAACCUAAAACGCGAGUUCGAGGAAAUCGCAGAAAUCGCCGCCCAGUUCAGAUUGGAGGCUGCAACUCGCCUCCAUGAAGUUGGAAUCGCUAGUAAUCGCGGAUCAGCUACGCCGCGGUGAAUGUGUUCC